RNAcentral lists this ribosomal RNA (379 nucleotides) under uncultured organism. Its description in RNAcentral is "partial 16S ribosomal RNA". It matches the Rfam family "Bacterial small subunit ribosomal RNA", at positions 526 to 896 of the family's 1533-position model. The record is from RNAcentral.
GUAGGGGUGCGAGCGUUGUCCGGAAUUACUGGGCGUAAAGAGCUCGUAGGCGGGGUUUGUCACGUCGUCUGUGAAAUCCCUCGGGCUUUAAACCCGGGGGGCGUGCAGGCGAUACGGGCAGACUUGAGUACUACAGGGGAGGCUGGAAUUCCUGGUGUAGCGAUGAAAUGCGCAGAUAUCAGGAGGAACACCGGUGGCGAAGGCGGGUCUCUGGGUAGUAACUGACGCUGAGGAGCGAAAGCAUGGGUAGCGAACAGGAUUAGAUACCCUGGUAGUCCAUGCCGUAAACGGUGGGCGCUAGGUGUGGGGUCCUUCCACGGACUCCGUGCCGUAGCUAACGCAUUAAGCGCCCCGCCUGGGGAGUACGGCCGCAAGGCUA